RNAcentral lists this ribosomal RNA (855 nucleotides) under uncultured bacterium. RNAcentral's name for it is "bacterial SSU rRNA". It matches the Rfam family "Bacterial small subunit ribosomal RNA", at positions 51 to 919 of the family's 1533-position model. The record is from RNAcentral.
ACACAUGCAAGUCGAACGGAGCUUAGAGAGCUUGCUUUUUAAGCUUAGUGGCGAACGGGUGAGUAACGCGUGAGUAACCUGCCCUAGAGUGGGGGACAACAGUUGGAAACGACUGCUAAUACCGCAUAAGCCCACGGUACCGCAUGGUACUGAGGGAAAAGGAUUUAUUCGCUUUAGGAUGGACUCGCGUCCAAUUAGCUAGUUGGUGAGGUAACGGCCCACCAAGGCGACGAUUGGUAGCCGGACUGAGAGGUUGAACGGCCACAUUGGGACUGAGACACGGCCCAGACUCCUACGGGAGGCAGCAGUGGGGGAUAUUGCACAAUGGGGGAAACCCUGAUGCAGCGACGCCGCGUGGAGGAAGAAGGUUUUCGGAUUGUAAACUCCUGUCGUUAGGGACGAUAAUGACGGUACCUAACAAGAAAGCACCGGCUAACUACGUGCCAGCAGCCGCGGUAAAACGUAGGGUGCAAGCGUUGUCCGGAAUUACUGGGUGUAAAGGGAGCGCAGGCGGGAAGACAAGUUGGAAGUGAAAACCAUGGGCUCAACCCAUGAAUUGCUUUCAAAACUGUUUUUCUUGAGUAGUGCAGAGGUAGAUGGAAUUCCCGGUGUAGCGGUGGAAUGCGUAGAUAUCGGGAGGAACACCAGUGGCGAAGGCGGUCUACUGGGCACCAACUGACGCUGAGGCUCGAAAGCAUGGGUAGCAAACAGGAUUAGAUACCCUGGUAGUCCAUGCCGUAAACGAUGAUUACUAGGUGUUGGGGGAUUGACCCCCUCAGUGCCGCAGUUAACACAAUAAGUAAUCCACCUGGGGAGUACGACCGCAAGGUUGAAACUCAAAGGAAUUGACGGGGG